Molecule: transfer RNA, 77 nt
Filed under: Thioalkalivibrio sp.
Lineage: Bacteria; Pseudomonadati; Pseudomonadota; Gammaproteobacteria; Chromatiales; Ectothiorhodospiraceae
Description: tRNA-Val
Rfam family: tRNA
About the family: Transfer RNA (tRNA) molecules are approximately 80 nucleotides in length. Their secondary structure includes four short double-helical elements and three loops (D, anti-codon, and T loops).
Source: RNAcentral
AGGCGCGUAGCUCAGCUGGUUAGAGCACCACCUUGACAUGGUGGGGCUCGUUGGUUCGAGUCCAAUCGCGCCUACCA